AGAGUUUGAUCAUGGCUCAGAUUGAACGCUGGCGGCAGGCCUAACACAUGCAAGUCGAACGGUAACAGGAAGCAGCUUGCUGCUUUGCUGACGAGUGGCGGACGGGCGAGUAAUGUCUGGGAAACUGCCUGAUGGAGGGGGAUAACUACUGGAAACGGUAGCUAAUACCGCAUAACGUCGCAAGACCAAAGAGGGGGACCUUAGGGCCUCUUGCCAUCGGAUGUGCCCAGAUGGGAUUAGCUAGUAGGUGGGGUAACGGCUCACCUAGGCGACGAUCCCUAGCUGGUCUGAGAGGAUGACCAGCCACACUGGAACUGAGACACGGUCCAGACUCCUACGGGAGGCAGCAGUGGGGAAUAUUGCACAAUGGGCGCAAGCCUGAUGCAGCCAUGCCGCGUGUAUGAAGAAGGCCUUCGGGUUGUAAAGUACUUUCAGCGGGGAGGAAGGGAGUAAAGUUAAUACCUUUGCUCAUUGACGUUACCCGCAGAAGAAGCACCGGCUAACUCCGUGCCAGCAGCCGCGGUAAUACGGAGGGUGCAAGCGUUAAUCGGAAUUACUGGGCGUAAAGCGCACGCAGGCGGUUUGUUAAGUCAGAUGUGAAAUCCCCGGGCUCAACCUGGGAACUGCAUCUGAUACUGGCAAGCUUGAGUCUCGUAGAGGGGGGUAGAAUUCCAGGUGUAGCGGUGAAAUGCGUAGAGAUCUGGAGGAAUACCGGUGGCGAAGGCGGCCCCCUGGACGAAGACUGACGCUCAGGUGCGAAAGCGUGGGGGAGCAAACAGGAUUAGAUACCCUGGUAGUCC
RNAcentral lists this ribosomal RNA (800 nucleotides) under uncultured bacterium. RNAcentral describes it as "bacterial SSU rRNA". It matches the Rfam family "Bacterial small subunit ribosomal RNA", at positions 8 to 796 of the family's 1533-position model. The record is from RNAcentral.